AUGUCAACUAUAAAUCGCCCUUCUUCUAUCAGAGCUAAGAUUGGGUGUAGGUCGAUAGCUCAGCUCCCUGCCACUGCUGAAGGAGUGCUGGCAGGACGUUUCUACAGGUUUACUUAUGAGGUUGAGGAGGUUUUGGUCAAGAAUCCUGGGAAUGCAGAAGAGGAGGAUCCCAUCCCUGUGGAUGGAACCAAGGCUGAUCAGACUCCUAAGAGGAAACGUACUGAACAUGAGAGAGGGGUGCAGCAGCCUGAGUCUGCUGGACAUGGCAAUACAGGGGGCUCCUAUCGU
This 288-nucleotide ribosomal RNA is filed under the name Triticum aestivum (bread wheat). RNAcentral's name for it is "partial small subunit ribosomal RNA". Lineage: Eukaryota; Viridiplantae; Streptophyta; Magnoliopsida; Poales; Poaceae. The record is from RNAcentral.